GACGUAGGGCGCGAGCGUUGUCCGGAUUUAUUGGGCGUAAAGAGCUCGUAGGCGGUCUGUCGCGUCGGGAGUGAAAACUCAGGGCUUAACCCUGAGCCUGCUUCCGAUACGGGCAGACUAGAGGUAUGCAGGGGAGAACGGAAUUCCUGGUGUAGCGGUGGAAUGCGCAGAUAUCAGGAGGAACACCGGUGGCGAAGGCGGUUCUCUGGGCAUUACCUGACGCUGAGGAGCGAAAGUGUGGGGAGCGAACAGG
This 253-nucleotide ribosomal RNA is filed under the name uncultured bacterium. RNAcentral describes it as "partial 16S ribosomal RNA". It matches the Rfam family "Bacterial small subunit ribosomal RNA", at positions 524 to 776 of the family's 1533-position model. The record is from RNAcentral.